RNAcentral lists this ribosomal RNA (203 nucleotides) under Penaeus vannamei (Pacific white shrimp). RNAcentral describes it as "partial large subunit ribosomal RNA". Lineage: Eukaryota; Metazoa; Arthropoda; Malacostraca; Decapoda; Penaeidae. The record is from RNAcentral.
AUUGGAGGCUCGUAUGAAUGGUUGGACAAAAAGCAAACUGUCUCAAUUAUAUUUAUUGAAUUUAACUUUUAAGUGAAAAGGCUUAAAUAAAUUAAGGGGACGAUAAGACCCUAUAAAGCUUUACAAUAAGUUACCUAUAUUAUAAAUUGUUAGUAUAACUUGAGUUUAGGUAACGUUUGUUGCGUUGGGGCGACGAGAAUAUA